UACAGAGGGUGCAAGCGUUGUUCGGAAUCACUGGGCGUAAAGGGCGCGUAGGCGGCCUGGUAAGCGUGCGGUGAAAGCCCGGGGCUCGACCCCGGGUCGGCCGUGCGAACUGCGAGGCUAGAGCACUGUAGAGGCAGGUGGAAUUCCGGGUGUAGCGGUGGAAUGCGUAGAGAUCCGGAAGAACACCGGUGACGAAGGCGGCCUGCUGGGCAGCGGCUGACGCUGAGGCGCGACAGCGUGGGGAGCAAACAGG
This 253-nucleotide ribosomal RNA is filed under the name uncultured bacterium. RNAcentral describes it as "partial 16S ribosomal RNA". It matches the Rfam family "Bacterial small subunit ribosomal RNA", at positions 524 to 776 of the family's 1533-position model. The record is from RNAcentral.